UGCCCGGUGGUGUAACGGUAACACAAACGGCUCUGGACCGUUUAUUCCUGGUUCGAAUCCAGGCUGGGCAGCCA
This 74-nucleotide transfer RNA is filed under the name Candidatus Omnitrophota bacterium. RNAcentral describes it as "Candidatus Omnitrophica bacterium tRNA-Gln". It matches the Rfam family "tRNA". From Rfam's summary of the family: Transfer RNA (tRNA) molecules are approximately 80 nucleotides in length. The record is from RNAcentral. Lineage: Bacteria; Pseudomonadati; Candidatus Omnitrophota.